RNA transcript from Capsicum annuum, 4674 nucleotides. RefSeq lists it as uncharacterized. The transcript has 3 exons. NCBI's taxonomy places the organism in Eukaryota, Viridiplantae, Streptophyta, Magnoliopsida, Solanales, Solanaceae. The record is from RefSeq and is a predicted model, not a curated record.
GAUUCUUAGCUCAACUUUGCUCUAGGUGGUUUCUAUGAACAUUUUUCACUUCGAAAGCACUUCCCACACUAGGAUAAAGAUCAUGAAAAAUGAAUUAAAAUAUGAAUCAUGGAAUUAGAGUUUACACACGUAGGAACGACAGUUCGAUCUCUGAAUUAUUCUUGAAAGAAGAAAUGAGUCCAUCUCUAUACCAAGUCGAAUAUUUCCUUGGUAUAUCUACAAUUUAAACCAAAUAACAAAGCUCUUACUUUUGCUACAAGUCCACUACCUUUAUCCAGAGGAACAACAAAAGCCCUGAUCAUUUUCCUCCUACAUCCCUCAGGACUCCUUCACAACUAAGAGGUAAAAAUGUACUGGAUCUGUUUAGGAUGCUUUUAACAUUUCAAAUUUGAGGCCACUUGCGGUUGCCAAAUAAUUGAGGUCACCUCAAUUAAGAUUAUAUAAAUAAGCAGGUAAAGAAAGCUAAGAACUCUUAGAUUCAUCAACCAGAUGAAGACCAGAACAUUUUAAGGGCAAGUUAAUAUCACAAUGGUUCUCAUAGUGCAUCUUAUAAGCACUGAAAUACAAAUUAAAGUCAUGUAGACAUGAUAUAAGGUAAAGACUUCCUAAAUUUCUUGAGUUCAGUUUUGACAUUUAUGGACAAGAUGACAAGUUGACAACUUCUUUAUUUCUGGAGAAGUGUUAGACGAAUUUGUGAAAAAAAUAUUAGUCUAUUCAGUUGAAUGCCUAAACACUUCAAUUAGGUUCUUUCACGUGAUUGCCACUGGCAUACAAAUGAUGGGAACUAGUAUGAUGAUUGGAGGGGAUGCGAGCCCUUCUCGCUAUGUGUGGCUGAUGCGAGCUAACCUUACAGAAGUGGACGCAUCAUUGGGUUAUGUGAGAUACGAGCCGAUGUGAGCGCAUCAUGCUGAUUUUAUUUUUAGGGUCAAUUUUAAUUUUUCUUAGAAAAGAGUCAUUUCAUGUUGAUUUUAUAUUUAGGGUUAAUUUUUUUUUUUUUUUAAAAAAGAGUAAUGUAGUGACACUACCACUUGGGGUGUUGUCGCCAAGGCAAGUGGAGUUGAGGAAAUGGAAAACCGUUAUGGUUUAAGGAGGAAUACUUCAAGCUUAGAUAACUAGGGAAAAGAAGUUGCUACUGUUCGACAAUAGUAUAAUUGUGUAGACAGAAUAUUCUCUUUCCUAGAGUAGGAUUUCAUUACUGAUUGUGUAGUUAUAACAAUAUAUAUUCUUUCCUAGAAUAGAACUCUAACCUACAGUUGUAUAGCUAUAAGUAUUUCAUUAUGUAUUAUGGAACAAGACAAGUUGCUAUUCAGAAAAUCUUGGUUUCUCUUGUUUCUCUGUCAUGGUAUCAAGAGCCACAAUCUAAUUUUUUUUCCUUUUUCCUUGCUUUCUGUAUUCUUUGCACAGGUACUUUUCUACCUUCAUAAGUUCCUUUUGUUCUCUCUGUUUUUUUCCCUUCUUUUGUAAUCAAUCGAUCAAUGGAUUCACAAUCCUCUUCGCACGAUUUGCUCUCCACAAAAUUGGAUGGUUCCAAUUUUUCUCUUUGGAAAUUCCACUUUGGAAUCUUUGUUCAAGGCAAGGGCCUUUUUGGGUUGUUAGAUGGAUCUGCUCGUACUCCAACAGAUGCAAAAGAGUUGGAUCUUUGGAAAUUGAAUAAUGCGAAGGUAAUCGUUUGGAUGUUGAAUUUAGUACAUGCUGAUAUUGCUAUGGGGCUUAGACCUUUCAAUUUGGCUUCUGAGAUGUGGACCCACCUUCUUACAAUCUACCAAUAAAGCAGCCUUGCACGAGAAUUUGAAAUGGAAUGCAACAUUACAGAAUACACAAAGGGGGACAAGAAUGUUCGCUCCUUUUAUGCUGGCUUGCAGUUGCUCUAGUUGGAACAAGAUCAAAUUCUUGGGCAAAAUAUUUUUAAGGCAGGGCUCAAGGAGGUGUUGGAAGAACGAAAGAAGACAAGGGUGGUGCAAUUCUUAAUGAAACUCCGUCCUGAAUUCGAGCCGAUUCGUGGCAGUUUGUUGAACAGGGAAGUCACACCUGCUCUUAACGUUGUGUUGGCAGCCGUCUUGCGUGAAGAGACAAGACUUGGAACUCAGGUUGCUAUGGAGUCUACACCAUUACCUUCUGUUGCAUUACUUGCAGGAAAAUCAACAACUGUUGCUUCAACAGGAAAUACUAAAAGAAGUGUCCAAUGCUAUGAAUGGCAAGACUUUGGUCACAUCGCAGCCAAUUGUCCUAAGAAGAAAAACAUUUGUGCUUAUUGCAAAAUUACUGGCCAUCAUAUUUCAGAUUGUCGUCGUCGCCCAAAUCGUUCACGAACUGCUCACCAGGCUUACCAGACAAAUGUCACUACAUCAUCUGGUUCCUUCAUUGCUGGUCAUGAUUUUGAAAAACUAAUUCGAGAUUCUAUUGCAGCUGCCCUUCCCGAAGCCAUCUCAAGUGCACUCUCGGCAUCCUCUUCAGAAUCUAAAAACAGGGAUGACUAUGGCCACAAGACGUAGAUUUGGCAGAAUAUUCCUACUAGAGUCGGUUCACCGUCACUUGCAUCAUUGUUUUCUUUCAGUUUCUGCAGCGGAUGUUACUUGUUCGAAUAAAUUGCUCACUCUUUGGCAUAAUAGGAUAGGUUAUCCUCAUUCUUCUCGGCUUCAUCACAUGCUUAAAUCAUGUCUUCCUGCAGCACAUCACAUCCAUUCUAGUCUCUUUUUGGCAUGUACAAGUUGCGUCGGUUCAAAAAGUCACAAGCUCCCUUUUCCAUCCAGUUCAUUUGCUUAUGAAGAUCCGUUUGAUUUAGUGUAUAGUGAUGUUUGGGGUCCUUCUCUUAUUUUUUUCAAGGAUGGGAUAUAAGUACUUUGUGUUAUUUAUUGAUCAUGUAUCCAGAUACACCUUGGUGUUUUUUAUUAGAAAUAAAUCUGUGGUUUCGACUCUUAUUAUGAAUUUUGUUGAGUAUGUUCGUGCAUAAUUUCAUAAAACUAUAAAAGUAUUUCGUUCUGAUUCAGGAGGAGACUACACUAACACUAAUCUUGUUGAUUUUUUCAAAAACAAAGGAAUUAUUGCCCAACACACUUGUUCUCAUACUCCGGAACAAAAUGGAGUCGUACAAAGGAAGAAUCGACAUGUUUUAGAAACUACAUUGGCUUUAUUGAGUACGUCGAGUAUGCCAAAAAGUUUUUGGCCCGAAGCAGUACAUACUUCUGUAUAUUUGAUCAAUAGACAAACUUCCCCAGUCAUUGGAAAUGAGACACCGUAUUUCAAAUUAUUUCAUAGUAAGCCUAAUUAUUCUCACUUGCGGGUUUUUGGUUGUGUUUGCUUUGUGCAUCUUCCAGCACAUGAACGACAUAAGCUUUCGGCAAAGGCAGCACAAUGUAUUUUUGUGUGAUACAGUGACACACAAAAGGGGUAUCUCUGUUAUGAUGCAUCUCGUCAUCAGCUUCGAAUAUCUAGACAUGCUAUUUUCUUUGAGGAUUAGUUUUCUUGCAAACACAAUGCUAAACAUGCUUCAGAAUCUCUCUUUUCUGUACAAGUUUGAUGACGAUGUGGUAGCUACUGACUUUCAGCUUGAGUCUUCGAAACAACCCAUGGACUAUGAUAAUGGUGAUCUCCAGCCUUCAUCUGAUCCUCCGCUUGAAUAUCCAGAACAACCCAUGAACAAUGGUAAUGAAGCUCUCCAACCUUCAUCUCUUUCUGGUAUUGACUCUACAUCAUCAUUCUUAUCUUCGGAAGAGGGAUCCUCUCAUCCAGUUACUCCUCCACGUCGGUCUAGUAGAACAAAUCGCCAUGCUCCUGAACGACUUGGAUACUCUCCAGGGAAAUUUGGUGCUCAGAGCCUUUGGUUGGAUGCUUCCGGCUAUUAUUAUGUCAGCGGUAAUUGGAACAGGUACAGAUACUAUUAUCAUGGCAUUAGUGCUUCCUUUAGCACAGUCUGCUCUUUCUUUAGCGAUGGAUACCAUAUGGGGAUGGUCCGAUGAAGUCCCACGAUCCAAGUCCAAGAAAAAGAAAAGACCCUAUGCUAGAGCAGCGAGCAACCCUGGAAUAAGAAUGGGAAAAGGCCAAAAUACUCGAAAUGGCAAGGGAGUUACAGACUAUCAGUCCUGGGCUGCCUCAAAUUGUGCAUCAGAUAGAAACAAUUCAGGAAGCACUCUGAAUUGUGGGGGUUGGGAUGAGCUAGACAAUCAUGGGAUGGAAGGACAGCACAUAAUGCCCCUUAACCAACGACGGGCUGAACCAAGACAGUGGACUGACGGAAAAUUGAGUAAGAGAAUCGGAAGGAGAGAAACUCUAUUGCUAUUGAGACUGCUAAUUGCUGUUUUCCCGUUCUUUGGAUCCUGGACCAAGCUAUUGUAAAUUUGUAAUGAACUUCGGGAGUUGAAGCCUUUUGUACAGCCAAACCUAACCAUUUGGCAGCAAACAAUCUUUUGUUUGGUCCUUGUUUUUCUCAAAGCUAGACUUGGAACCCAAAACAUAUAGUUGUACAGAUUAAACAUAGUUAAGACGAGCUUGUGUCUCUUCUGCUUGAGCACGCGUCCUAAAAUAAUGCCAGACGAAAAAGCAUCGUGAUAGACCUUGAGUACUUUUUUUUUCGUUUUGGAAGAGUUUGUCUUUUAUCUCUUGUAACACUUGGGAAAUGACGUGUAUGGAGAUAUCAAUAUAGUGUUAAGCAGUACAUGAACUGAAUUGUUUGUUUCG